GGACAGCUGAAGGGCCAUGCUGACUGUUUUGGUUGCUCUUUUACCUGGUAUUGUGAUCGGAUACAUCUUCAUUGCACAGCAGCCAGAAGAAAUCUUUCAGAGAGUUGGAGACACUGUGAACAUCUCCUGCAACCAGAAAAACAGUUACCUUGCCUUUAUGUUCUGGUACCAGCAGCCUCCAAGAAAUGGUCUGAAGUUAAUAGUCAGUACUACUUCAUUGAGGGAGAAAUUUUAUGAGGACGGUUAUAGUGAGGCCAAGUUUGAGAUAAGCAGAAAGUAUACUUACACUGUGAUGACAAUCAAGAAUGUGACAUCCAAGGAUGUAGCCACGUAUUUCUGUGCCGCGAGUGAUCACACGAGGACUGAGAGUAGAGGAGAGGUUUUUCUGCAGCUGCAAAACAGUGUGAAUAAUGAAAGACUGUACUUUGGCAGUGGGACAAAACUCACAGUCAUGGAGAAGGAUAAGGAAAUCAUACCUCCAUCUGUGGCCAUCUUUUUCCCAUCAAAGCAGGAAAUCCAGCAGAAGAAUAAGGCCACACUGGUGUGCCUGGCCUCUGGUUUCUACCCUGACCACCUGACUCUGGUCUGGAUGGUAAAUGAUGUUAAAAGGACAAAAGGAGUGGGGACAGACGAAUUCUCCACACAGAAUGGGAGUACCUACUCGCUGACCAGCCGACUGAGGAUCCCAGCCUGGGAAUGGUUCAACCCUUUGAAUAAUUUUGAGUGUGUUGCCAAUUUUUUUCAGAAUGGAAAAGAGGAAUCCAUACACAAAGUUAUCUCUGGUGAUGCUGGCUGUGCAGUUACAGAAGAUUCGUACUUGCGGUAUGGAAAUUCUGUGAAGCUCACUUACCUCAUUCUCUGUGGCAAAGCCUUGAUCUAUGCAGUUUUGGUGAGCAGUCUGUUGUGGAGAGCCAAGGUAGGUGGCAAGUUGUAUAAAGAAUGAAUGAAGACCCCUCUUCAUCACGUCAGCAGAAACACAACAAAUUAUACCCUCUACCUUUCCAUAACAAAGGAUCUAUGCUUCUAAGAACUUCUAAAUAUUUUUUGAUGAUUCUUUGUCCUGCUCCUGUUCUCCACUUUGUUGUACUCGCUGCUGGAUUUUUCCUGUUCUUCCAUAUCAUAUAUUAUCAUAUUGUAUUGUCUCAUAUGUUUAAAACUAGCACCUUCUUAAUGCUCAGAGGCUGAGAACUCAACUCCUUGAUUUAGGAAUAAAUUUUUAGCUUCUUUUCCAUUGAAAAAA
Non-coding RNA from Corapipo altera (White-ruffed manakin), 1240 nucleotides. NCBI's taxonomy places the organism in Eukaryota, Metazoa, Chordata, Aves, Passeriformes, Pipridae. The record is from the annotation of a RefSeq genome assembly.